Apis florea (little honeybee) is the source of this 884-nucleotide long non-coding RNA. Lineage: Eukaryota; Metazoa; Arthropoda; Insecta; Hymenoptera; Apidae. The record is from RefSeq and is a predicted model, not a curated record.
UGCUUCAAACAUUUAAAACUAAAAUAGGUAUAUGCAACAAAUAUUAAUUUAUUUUUUAAAGCAAUCACAUCAACCAAUAUCCAUUUCUCCAUAUUCAACAUUAAUUCCCUUUCUCGUUUCACAAUAUCAUAGCAGAAGAAAAGUCAGUAUCUUUCUCAUCUUCAAAGCUCAAUUUCAUCAAACAACCAUGUUAAGUCUUACCAAAUCGGUCUCAACUAAGGAUUAACUGAUGAAAAAGGUAUACGGGUAUCGAGAAAGGGAAAUGAGCACAAAGGUCAACGGGAUUCUUGUACCAAAUAAGUUCUGGGAAAAAGAAGCAUUCCAUAUGGCAGCAUAACUCCUCGAUUGUGGAAAUUAUACAUUACUCCCAUCGAACACUGCACGAUAGGAAAGCUGUAAUUAUUUACACUAUACAAGUGGAGAUGGUACAAAUAGCAUAACUGUAUGUACGGAUCUUCUGCUCGGGAGUGACGGGGGAGAGCAAGCCGACAUUUUUAUUCUAAUGCGUACUCACCGGCUGCGUUCACCAAGGUAAACGCGCUCGGAACGCUGGUGAAAAUAACAGAGCUCGAAAUUUAAUAUAUUUGGGUUGCUGCAAUUAGAAACACAUUAAACAUUUGAUACAUCAAAACGAUUAUACAUCAGACCAAAUUAUGAAUCUAAACACAGAGACUUUGGAUUAAAAACAACGCCAUCGACUAUUUGAGAAAUCCUCGGCAUCAUAAUGAUGGAUCACGACAAGUUUUUCUUCUUGGACGUCGUCCAAAGAUGAUGUGUACAUUUUGAUUGUUUCUUCGUGCUAAAUCGGAUAUUUGUGUCAAUUGAUGUCUUUUGACCGCGAAUAUUUUCUUCACGGUCCAGUAAACUAAAAUUUUACAAAACAA